RNAcentral lists this ribosomal RNA (2903 nucleotides) under Escherichia coli. RNAcentral describes it as "23S ribosomal RNA". It matches the Rfam family "Bacterial large subunit ribosomal RNA". The record is from RNAcentral. Lineage: Bacteria; Pseudomonadati; Pseudomonadota; Gammaproteobacteria; Enterobacterales; Enterobacteriaceae.
GGUUAAGCGACUAAGCGUACACGGUGGAUGCCCUGGCAGUCAGAGGCGAUGAAGGACGUGCUAAUCUGCGAUAAGCGUCGGUAAGGUGAUAUGAACCGUUAUAACCGGCGAUUUCCGAAUGGGGAAACCCAGUGUGUUUCGACACACUAUCAUUAACUGAAUCCAUAGGUUAAUGAGGCGAACCGGGGGAACUGAAACAUCUAAGUACCCCGAGGAAAAGAAAUCAACCGAGAUUCCCCCAGUAGCGGCGAGCGAACGGGGAGCAGCCCAGAGCCUGAAUCAGUGUGUGUGUUAGUGGAAGCGUCUGGAAAGGCGCGCGAUACAGGGUGACAGCCCCGUACACAAAAAUGCACAUACUGUGAGCUCGAUGAGUAGGGCGGGACACGUGGUAUCCUGUCUGAAUAUGGGGGGACCAUCCUCCAAGGCUAAAUACUCCUGACUGACCGAUAGUGAACCAGUACCGUGAGGGAAAGGCGAAAAGAACCCCGGCGAGGGGAGUGAAAAAGAACCUGAAACCGUGUACGUACAAGCAGUGGGAGCCUCUUUUAUGGGGUGACUGCGUACCUUUUGUAUAAUGGGUCAGCGACUUAUAUUCUGUAGCAAGGUUAACCGAAUAGGGGAGCCGAAGGGAAACCGAGUCUUAACUGGGCGUUAAGUUGCAGGGUAUAGACCCGAAACCCGGUGAUCUAGCCAUGGGCAGGUUGAAGGUUGGGUAACACUAACUGGAGGACCGAACCGACUAAUGUUGAAAAAUUAGCGGAUGACUUGUGGCUGGGGGUGAAAGGCCAAUCAAACCGGGAGAUAGCUGGUUCUCCCCGAAAGCUAUUUAGGUAGCGCCUCGUGAAUUCAUCUCCGGGGGUAGAGCACUGUUUCGGCAAGGGGGUCAUCCCGACUUACCAACCCGAUGCAAACUGCGAAUACCGGAGAAUGUUAUCACGGGAGACACACGGCGGGUGCUAACGUCCGUCGUGAAGAGGGAAACAACCCAGACCGCCAGCUAAGGUCCCAAAGUCAUGGUUAAGUGGGAAACGAUGUGGGAAGGCCCAGACAGCCAGGAUGUUGGCUUAGAAGCAGCCAUCAUUUAAAGAAAGCGUAAUAGCUCACUGGUCGAGUCGGCCUGCGCGGAAGAUGUAACGGGGCUAAACCAUGCACCGAAGCUGCGGCAGCGACACUAUGUGUUGUUGGGUAGGGGAGCGUUCUGUAAGCCUGUGAAGGUGUACUGUGAGGUAUGCUGGAGGUAUCAGAAGUGCGAAUGCUGACAUAAGUAACGAUAAAGCGGGUGAAAAGCCCGCUCGCCGGAAGACCAAGGGUUCCUGUCCAACGUUAAUCGGGGCAGGGUGAGUCGACCCCUAAGGCGAGGCCGAAAGGCGUAGUCGAUGGGAAACAGGUUAAUAUUCCUGUACUUGGUGUUACUGCGAAGGGGGGACGGAGAAGGCUAUGUUGGCCGGGCGACGGUUGUCCCGGUUUAAGCGUGUAGGCUGGUUUUCCAGGCAAAUCCGGAAAAUCAAGGCUGAGGCGUGAUGACGAGGCACUACGGUGCUGAAGCAACAAAUGCCCUGCUUCCAGGAAAAGCCUCUAAGCAUCAGGUAACAUCAAAUCGUACCCCAAACCGACACAGGUGGUCAGGUAGAGAAUACCAAGGCGCUUGAGAGAACUCGGGUGAAGGAACUAGGCAAAAUGGUGCCGUAACUUCGGGAGAAGGCACGCUGAUAUGUAGGUGAAGUCCCUCGCGGAUGGAGCUGAAAUCAGUCGAAGAUACCAGCUGGCUGCAACUGUUUAUUAAAAACACAGCACUGUGCAAACACGAAAGUGGACGUAUACGGUGUGACGCCUGCCCGGUGCCGGAAGGUUAAUUGAUGGGGUCAGCGCAAGCGAAGCUCUUGAUCGAAGCCCCGGUAAACGGCGGCCGUAACUAUAACGGUCCUAAGGUAGCGAAAUUCCUUGUCGGGUAAGUUCCGACCUGCACGAAUGGCGUAAUGAUGGCCAGGCUGUCUCCACCCGAGACUCAGUGAAAUUGAACUCGCUGUGAAGAUGCAGUGUACCCGCGGCAAGACGGAAAGACCCCGUGAACCUUUACUAUAGCUUGACACUGAACAUUGAGCCUUGAUGUGUAGGAUAGGUGGGAGGCUUAGAAGUGUGGACGCCAGUCUGCAUGGAGCCGACCUUGAAAUACCACCCUUUAAUGUUUGAUGUUCUAACGUUGACCCGUGAUCCGGGUUGCGGACAGUGUCUGGUGGGUAGUUUGACUGGGGCGGUCUCCUCCUAAAGAGUAACGGAGGAGCACGAAGGUUGGCUAAUCCUGGUCGGACAUCAGGAGGUUAGUGCAAUGGCAUAAGCCAGCUUGACUGCGAGCGUGACGGCGCGAGCAGGUGCGAAAGCAGGUCAUAGUGAUCCGGUGGUUCUGAAUGGAAGGGCCAUCGCUCAACGGAUAAAAGGUACUCCGGGGAUAACAGGCUGAUACCGCCCAAGAGUUCAUAUCGACGGCGGUGUUUGGCACCUCGAUGUCGGCUCAUCACAUCCUGGGGCUGAAGUAGGUCCCAAGGGUAUGGCUGUUCGCCAUUUAAAGUGGUACGCGAGCUGGGUUUAGAACGUCGUGAGACAGUUCGGUCCCUAUCUGCCGUGGGCGCUGGAGAACUGAGGGGGGCUGCUCCUAGUACGAGAGGACCGGAGUGGACGCAUCACUGGUGUUCGGGUUGUCAUGCCAAUGGCACUGCCCGGUAGCUAAAUGCGGAAGAGAUAAGUGCUGAAAGCAUCUAAGCACGAAACUUGCCCCGAGAUGAGUUCUCCCUGACCCUUUAAGGGUCCUGAAGGAACGUUGAAGACGACGACGUUGAUAGGCCGGGUGUGUAAGCGCAGCGAUGCGUUGAGCUAACCGGUACUAAUGAACCGUGAGGCUUAACCUU